UGUACUAUCCAGUAAAACAACACGGCUACACUUCUGUUCGUUUGCUGCUUAAAAUGUGAAAGAGAAGUGGUGUAGCCCAGGACAGCAGGAAUUUUUACUGCCUUUCACAGAUUCAGCACUUGCUGUCUUUGGAGAAGAGCUUGCAGUGCUCCUGAGUACGUUCCUUCAGGGCUAGUCCUCUCCAUGCUCCAGGAAAUCCAUUGGUGUCCCCAUCCAUGAACGACCCUAGAAGCUGUUCGUCCCUUCAGAGUUGUGUUGCCUCCUUCUGUGCCUGGUUUGUUGCCACACUACUCCUCCAUGGAGCCUAGGAACCUUUAUGUUCCAGCUGACUUUCUCUAACAGAGCAACCGAUGUGCUUUUUCACCAGAACUAACUGAAGCACGAACUCAUUGGGACUGAAGGAAAACUGUCUCAGAGACAAAAGGGAUGUCUUUAUCGCACUGGCAGUUUUCUGCCUCUUUGCCAUAGACCGUGCACUUCUGACAGCGGUACUGUGCACAGGCUCAGGAGCUGUGCUGGAGGACUGAGCCCAGCUGGAGCUGGUUUCCCCAUUCCUUCAGGCAAGCAGGGGUAGUUCUUGGUUUGAGUAAUGCUCAACAUCCUCACUGAAAAAAAUCUGGCUGUGUAGGUGCAGUAUGUG
This 640-nucleotide long non-coding RNA is filed under the name Anas platyrhynchos platyrhynchos (common mallard). RNAcentral's name for it is "lncRNA (ENSAPLG00000021140.1)". The record is from RNAcentral. Lineage: Eukaryota; Metazoa; Chordata; Aves; Anseriformes; Anatidae.